RNAcentral lists this ribosomal RNA (533 nucleotides) under uncultured bacterium. Its description in RNAcentral is "bacterial SSU rRNA". It matches the Rfam family "Bacterial small subunit ribosomal RNA", at positions 305 to 859 of the family's 1533-position model. The record is from RNAcentral.
CGGCCACACUGGAACUGAGACACGGUCCAGACUCCUACGGGAGGCAGCAGUGGGGAAUAUUGCACAAUGGAGGAAACUCUGAUGCAGCGACGCCGCGUGAAUGAUGAAGGCCUUCGGGUUGUAAAGUUCUGUCCUUGGGGAAGAUAAUGACGGUACCCAAGGAGGAAGCCCCGGCUAACUACGUGCCAGCAGCCGCGGUAAUACGUAGGGGGCGAGCGUUGUCCGGAAUUAUUGGGCGUAAAGGGUUCGCAGGCGGUCUGAUAAGUCAGAUGUGAAAGGCGUAGGCUCAACCUACGUAAGCAUUUGAAACUGUCAGACUUGAGUUAAGGAGAGGAAAGUGGAAUUCCUAGUGUAGCGGUGAAAUGCGUAGAUAUUAGGAGGAAUACCAGUGGCGAAGGCGACUUUCUGGACUUAUACUGACGCUGAGGAACGAAAGCGUGGGGAGCAAACAGGAUUAGAUACCCUGGUAGUCCACGCCGUAAACGAUGAGUGCUAGGUGUUGGGGGUCAAACCUCGGUGCCGCAGCUAACGCA